CUGACCUGAAAUUAGUAAGAUGACCCGCUGGACUUAAGCAUAUUACUAAGCGGAGGAAAAGAAAUUGACGAAGAUUGCCUUAGUAAGGGCGACUGAACCGGCAAAAGCUCGAAAUUGAAAUCGUUGAUUCAAAGAAUCUUCUGAAUUGUAAUCNGGCAAGCCAAAAUACGGAUAAUAUCUUAACAAGGUCGAAUCCUUGGCCAUAGAGAGUGAGAGCCUCGUGUNGUAUUGUCCGGAACNGGGGUGUCACACAAGAGUCGGGUUGCUUNGAACUGCAGCCUAAGCGGGAGAUAUGAAUCUUCCAAAGCUAAAUAUGGAUGGGAGACCGAUAGCGAACAAGUACUGUGAAGGAAAGA
RNAcentral lists this ribosomal RNA (356 nucleotides) under Isotricha prostoma. Its description in RNAcentral is "LSU rRNA". It matches the Rfam family "Eukaryotic large subunit ribosomal RNA", at positions 1 to 364 of the family's 3401-position model. The record is from RNAcentral. Lineage: Eukaryota; Ciliophora; Litostomatea; Vestibuliferida; Isotrichidae.